AGAGUGAACGCUGGCGGCAGGCCUAACACAUGCAAGUCGAACGGCAGCACGGUGGUAGCAAUACCAUGGGUGGCGAGUGGCGGACGGGUGAGGAAUACAUCGGAAUCUACCUCGUCGUGGGGGGAUAACGUAGGGAAACUUACGCUAAUACCGCAUACGAACUAUGGUUGAAAGCGGCGGACCGCAAGGCGUCGCGCGAUUGGAUGAGCCGAUGUCCGAUUAGCUAGUUGGCGGGUAAAGGCCCACCAAGGCGACGAUCGGUAGCUGGUCUGAGAGGAUGAUCAGCCACACUGGAACUGAGACACGGUCCAGACUCCUACGGGAGGCAGCAGUGGGGAAUAUUGGACAAUGGGGGCAACCCUGAUCCAGCCAUGCCGCGUGUGUGAAGAAGGCCGUUCGGUUGUAAAGCUACGUUUUGUUGGGUAAGAAAGCGACGUGGUUAAUUACCGUUGGUACGUCGAUGACCGGUAACCGAAAG
This 478-nucleotide ribosomal RNA is filed under the name uncultured soil bacterium. Its description in RNAcentral is "bacterial SSU rRNA". It matches the Rfam family "Bacterial small subunit ribosomal RNA", at positions 26 to 484 of the family's 1533-position model. The record is from RNAcentral.